GAUGAAGAACGUAGCAAAAUGCGAUAAGUAAUGUGAAUUGCAGAAUUCCGUGAAUCAUCGAAUCUUUGAACGCACAUUGCGCCCGCCAGUAUUCUGGCGGGCAUGCCUGUUCGAGCGUCAUUUCAACCAUCAAGCCCCCCGGCUUGUGUUGGGGACCUGCGGCUGCCGCAGGCCCUGAAAUCCAGUGGCGGGCUCGCCGUAGCACCGAGCGUAGUAGCACACUUCUCGCUCCGGUAGCAGCGGCGGGCGCUUGCCGUAAAACCCCCCCUAAAAUCUCAAGGUUGACCUCGGAUCAGGUAGGAAUACCCGCUGAACUUAAGCAUAUCAAUAAGCGGAGGA
This 339-nucleotide unclassified non-coding RNA is filed under the name soil metagenome. RNAcentral's name for it is "partial contains 5.8S ribosomal RNA, internal transcribed spacer 2, and large subunit ribosomal RNA". The stretch from base 1 to 120 matches the Rfam family "5.8S ribosomal RNA", at positions 35 to 154 of the family's 154-position model. The record is from RNAcentral.